CCUAGCUUCUUGCCUGCAGGAGCUGGGCUGGGCGCUCUCCGAGACACCGCCUGCAUUAGGAAACCACCCCACGCGCGCGGGCUCAGCGGAGGCCGUGAGCAGAGCCGCUGGGGAGUACCGGGUCGGGGGCCAAACGACAUCCACGUUGCGGGUGACACCGGAGCGGUUUCUUUUUCGCAGGGAGCCGAGAAGGGUCUGUUUGACACGUGGAUGGUGUCUUGGCAUAGAGUUAACCCCUGGUCGUUCGCAGAAUGUAAAAGAAUUUACGAGACUCGACAAGAGUCCCUCCACUGCACUAGGGACAAGAUGUGAGGUGCCUCACCCAGCCCGGCUUCGUUCAUUCAACAAGGACUGAGCACCCACGAGUGCGAGUGCGGGGCUCCGUUCUUUCAUGCAUCUCGCCACCACAGUGUCCUGACUGGGUCCCAUCCACUCGGAUCGCCGUAGGCAGCGACGCACACGUGCAGUCACUACCGCCAGCUGCGUUUUAAGCAAGCUGCUUCCACUAGGCUCCUGUUCCUCGUCUCGGGGAAUUUCUCCUCACGUGAAACAGCAGCUCAAGUCCCCAUUUUAGAGUCUGGAAAAGUCUCCAGGCUGAAAGUGGCACAGAAGGUCAGAGGCCCUCACAUGGGCCCCAGAAAAAAAUUUCACCCAAGCCGCUCCUGUGGCAACUGUGGAAACAGAGGCAGGGAAUAUGAACCCCGGUCACCUCACGGAUGUGGAAGGUGAGGCUCAGAGGGUUCUCACAACUUGCCCAAGGCUCCACAGAUAGGCGGUGGCACGGCUGUGCUCUGAACCCAGAUCUCCGGCCUCCAAGCCCAGACUCAGGUUCCUCUAAGGCAGAGGCCAACCCUCCCUGAAAAGGUAAGGCUGGGCCUUCUGAGCUAGAUCCAAAACUAGCAGGAGUUUGGCUGCUGCGUUCUCUUUGGGGGCACUUGCUCUGGAAAGGCCAAGGAGUGGCCUGGCCUUCUCUGCCUGGAUGUACCUGCUAAGUCAGCGCCAUUCAGUAAGAACAAAUUCUGGUUUUGCCACUGAAUUGCGGUGGGUUCUUACGGUCACACAUUUCUGUAAAGUUUGCAAAUAAGAGACAUUUUAACCUCAGUUAUGUCUCUUUUCCACUCCUGUCUUUGUUCAUCAGUGGGAGUG
This is a long non-coding RNA of Hipposideros armiger (great roundleaf bat), 1146 nucleotides long. RefSeq lists it as uncharacterized. NCBI's taxonomy places the organism in Eukaryota, Metazoa, Chordata, Mammalia, Chiroptera, Hipposideridae. The record is from RefSeq and is a predicted model, not a curated record. The transcript has 3 exons.